RNAcentral lists this non-coding RNA (944 nucleotides) under Eleutherodactylus sommeri. RNAcentral describes it as "12S ribosomal RNA". It matches the Rfam family "Bacterial small subunit ribosomal RNA". Lineage: Eukaryota; Metazoa; Chordata; Amphibia; Anura; Eleutherodactylidae. The record is from RNAcentral.
CAUAAAGGUUUGAUCCUGACCUUAAAAUCAAUUCUUACCUAACCUACACAUGCAAGUCUCCGCCCCCCUGUGAAAACGCCCCCUAACUCCCAUCCCGAGUCAGAGGAGCAGGUAUCAGGCACACCUGCCCAAGACACCUAGCCAUGCCACACCCACAAGGGUCCUCAGCAGUGAUUAAUAUUGAACAUUAGCGUUAGCUAGAUUCAGUUAAGGUAAACAGGGCCGGCAAAUCUGGUGCCAGCCGCCGCGGUUACACCAGCGACCCAAAUUGAUUUAUGCCGGCGUAAAGAGUGGUUAAAAAUCUUGAUUUAAAACUAGAGCUAAACAUAGGUCUAAUUGUUAAAAAUUUACCUAAAGGAAACUCACCAACGAAAGUUGCUCUACUCUAUCCUACUUGAAUCCACGAAAGCCAGGACAUAAACUGGGAUUAGAUACCCCAUUAUACCUCGCCGUAAACUUUAACUUACAACGCAAUCGCCAGGGAACUACGAGCCAAGCUUAAAACCCAAAGGACUUGACGGUGCCCCAUAACCCCCUAGAGGAGCCUGUCCUAUAAUCGAUGAUCCCCGUUUAACCUUACCGCUCUUGGCUUAUUCAGCCUGUAUACUUCCGUCGCCAGCUUACCGCAUGAGCGAAACUCAGUUAGCCUAAUGUCUUCCUACAGUAUCGUCAAUACGUCAGGUCAAAGUGCAGCAAAUAGAGCGGAAAGAGAUUGGCUACACUUUUUAGCAUAAAAGAUACGAAAGACAACAAAUGAAACUCUGUCAGAAGGUGGAUUUAGAAGUAAAAUGAAUUCAUUAUACUCAUUUUAACAAGGCACUGGAGCGUGUACACACCGCCCGUCACCCUCUUCAAUACAAUUUUAUUAGUACUUAACAAAAUCUACCACCCUAAGAAGAGGCAAGUCGUAACAUGGUAAGUAUACCGGAAGGUGUACUUGGAAA